AAACCAACAGGGAUUGCCCUAGUAACGGCGAGUGAAGCGGCAACAGCUCAAAUUUGAAAUCUGGCCCUUGGGUCCGAAUUGUAAUUUGUAGAGGAUGAUUUUGGUGCGGUAUCUUCCGAGUUCCUUGGAACAGGACGCCUUAGAGGGUGAGAGCCCCGUACGGUUGAAUGCCUAGCCUCUGUAAAUCUCCUUCGACGAGUCGAGUAGUUUGGGAAUGCUGCUCUAAAUGGGAGGUAAAUUUCUUCUAAAGCUAAAUACUGGCCAGAGACCGAUAGCGCACAAGUAGAGUGAUCGAAAGAUGAAAAGCACUUUGAAAAGAGGGUUAAAUAGCACGUGAAAUUGUUGAAAGGGAAGGAUUUAUGACCAGACUUUUUCUGGGCGGAUCAUCCGGUGUUCUCACCGGUGCACUUUGCCCAGUUUAGGCCAGCAUCGAUUUUUGGAGAGGGAUAAAAGCUUUAGGAAUGUGGCUCCUCCGGGAGUGUUAUAGCCUAUUGUAUAAUACCUUUCCGGGGAUCGAGGUACGCGCUUCUGCAAGGAUGCUGGCGUAAUGGUUAUCAAUCACCCGUCUUGAAACACGGACCAAGGAGUCGAACAUUUGUGCGAGUGUUUGGGUGUUAAACCCUCACGCGUAAUGAAAGUGAACGGAGGUGAGAGCCCUUACGGGUGCAUCAUCGACCGAUCCUGAAGUUUUCGGAUGGAUUUGAGUAAGAGCAUAACUGUUCGGACCCGAAAGAUGGUGAACUAUGCGUGGAUAGGGUGAAGCCAGAGGAAACUCUGGUGGAGGCUCGCAGCGGUUCUGACGUGCAAAUCGAUCGUCAAAUCUGCGCAUGGGGGCGAAA
Molecule: ribosomal RNA, 839 nt
Filed under: Seiridium ceratosporum
Lineage: Eukaryota; Fungi; Ascomycota; Sordariomycetes; Amphisphaeriales; Sporocadaceae
Description: LSU rRNA
Rfam family: Eukaryotic large subunit ribosomal RNA
Source: RNAcentral